This is a long non-coding RNA of Asterias rubens (European starfish), 368 nucleotides long. RefSeq lists it as uncharacterized. NCBI's taxonomy places the organism in Eukaryota, Metazoa, Echinodermata, Asteroidea, Forcipulatida, Asteriidae. The transcript is spliced from 3 exons. The record is from RefSeq and is a predicted model, not a curated record.
ACGUCCAAAAAGAAGGAAAGGACACCUCGCCAAUCAGGGUACUAUGUGAGCAGAUGCCAGGACUUGGCGUAAACAUCUUGGAGUCCUCAUCAAACCCGGCACCUCCAAGUCCACAUCAUCCACCUCCGCAAAGCUCUUGCCAAGCUGGUGGGUUUGUACCAACUGUAGGGAGAUGCCAACACAACAGGACAGGUCAUGCUGCAAACAAAGGCCGGAUGAAUGCUUCUCAAACUUGGCAAUCUUGAGGCACCUUGUUCUGGACCACCAUUAGAGUUGGCACGACAUCACAGGAAUGACAUGUUCACCAGGGCAGCAUGAUGUACACAACAAAUGACUUUGCCACCCAGCCAGCCUUCACAGACAACAUG